AAGUGCUACAUUACCCCCACUAUUUCAUGAAUGGUUCAUUACAGUAGUUCUUUCUGCAGUAAUUUCAGUGUUUCAUAGAUUAAGAUUACAUAUGUAUGUUCAUGAAUGAUGAGUAGUUUCAGUUAUUUCCCAACUUGAAAGAAACCGGAAUAGGCAGUAGUAGGACAAUGAGUCAUCCUGCACUAGUACAAGUACAUGAACAAGUAGUAUUAUACGAGUUAGUGUUGAUUUUCAAAUUUGAUGCUCUCUAAUGAUUGCUCACGUGCCCUCAGGAAUCUGUUAUUCCUUUUUCAUCAUCAGGAUGACAACAAGUCUUCUUAGUGGGAUCAGACGGCACAUUGCCGUUGCCAAAAACACUGUGAUGUCGUUUCGCUUGUAUGCCAUGCUCUCGCACCAAAUCCUGGUAUAUAUAUGCUGAUCCCAUGUUGAACCUGAGCUCAAUUAUUUUGGGAAAUACUGAGACAUCAGAUGGCCUAUCAUCAUCUUUACGUAGUUUUUAGUUGACUUAUCGUUAUGUAUAAGCAGCUCAUCUGGCGGCAGUACUAUUGGUUAUUAUUUAUAAGAAGUCAUACUGAUCAUGAAAAAUAUGCCACAGUAAACUUUGAAACAAUACUGAUAACAGUUUCACAUAGUUGUGCCCCUUUAUAUUGCUUGCUCUCACUCAAUAGGCACCAUUUGUCCAUUUCUGUUCCAUAUCUCUUACCCUGAUGUUGAAAAAGUAAUUAAGUCUUGAACUACUUGAAUCAUUGAUGUGCUGUAAAUCUAUGCUCGGUUCUAUAUGCGAAGAUAGACACUAUCUUUGCUGCUUGUGUCUUGAAUAAAUAAAUAAAAUUAUGUAAUGAUGAUCUGAAAUGUCACACAGGUGACCAUUUGUGAUGUCGCCACCGUCAUGCCGGUUGGAGGUGCUGCUGCUGCAUCUGGCGGAGCUGCAGCUGCCGCCCCAAAGGGCAACCUUCAUCAAACACAACCCCAUAAAAGGGCCUCAAGGUGAAUGGAGCUUGUGUUGUUGAUAGAACACCGUUGAUGACUUCUUCCUAUGUUGAAGAGCAUGUUCCAUGGUAUCCAAGAGUAGCUAGCUUUAACUUGGCAGAGCGUUUUAUUUUUCAAUCGCAAUAUUUGUGAUUGUGUGGAAUAUUGUAUGGUUAUGUACGUGAAGUUUUAAGUUCCUGGGCAUGCAAUAUUUGUAGGUUAAACUGGUUGUUGUGAUGUGAACGAGUGUAUGGAGUUUCACAUGUUCUGUUCUGUACAGAAUAUAUUGUAAUAAACCUAUUUUGGUUGUUAUUUGAAGAUUUUCAUAUUC
This is a long non-coding RNA of Aegilops tauschii subsp. strangulata, 1300 nucleotides long. RefSeq lists it as uncharacterized. NCBI's taxonomy places the organism in Eukaryota, Viridiplantae, Streptophyta, Magnoliopsida, Poales, Poaceae. The record is from RefSeq and is a predicted model, not a curated record.